GGACCCGUGGUGGAGAUGGUUACCAUGCCGGCCUGUCACGCCGGAGGUCGCGAGUUCGAUCCUCGUCGGGUCCGCCA
This 77-nucleotide transfer RNA is filed under the name Thermotoga sp. RNAcentral's name for it is "tRNA-Asp". It matches the Rfam family "tRNA". From Rfam's summary of the family: Transfer RNA (tRNA) molecules are approximately 80 nucleotides in length. Their secondary structure includes four short double-helical elements and three loops (D, anti-codon, and T loops). Further hydrogen bonds mediate the characteristic L-shaped molecular structure. tRNAs have two regions of fundamental functional importance: the anti-codon, which is responsible for specific mRNA codon recognition, and the 3' end, to which the tRNAs corresponding amino acid is attached (by aminoacyl-tRNA synthetases). tRNAs cope with the degeneracy of the genetic code in two manners: having more than one tRNA (with a specific anti-codon) for a particular amino acid; and 'wobble' base-pairing, i.e. permitting non-standard base-pairing at the 3rd anti-codon position. The record is from RNAcentral. Lineage: Bacteria; Thermotogati; Thermotogota; Thermotogae; Thermotogales; Thermotogaceae. RNAcentral also lists the same sequence under 2 other names.